AAUGGUGGGAGAGCGGUCUAAGGGCGUUGAAGCAUGAUCGCAAGGACAUGUGGAGCGCUUAGAAGUGAGAAUGCCGGUGUGAGUAGCGAAAGACGGGUGAGAAUCCCGUCCACCGAUUGACUAAGGUGUCCAGAGGAAGGCUCGUCCGCUCUGGGUUAGUCGGGUCCUAAGCUGAGGCCGAUAGGCGUAGGCGAUGGAUAACAGGUUGAUAUUCCUGUACCACCAAAAUUCGUUUU
RNAcentral lists this ribosomal RNA (236 nucleotides) under Staphylococcus succinus. Its description in RNAcentral is "partial 23S ribosomal RNA". It matches the Rfam family "Bacterial large subunit ribosomal RNA", at positions 1224 to 1460 of the family's 2925-position model. The record is from RNAcentral. Lineage: Bacteria; Bacillati; Bacillota; Bacilli; Caryophanales; Staphylococcaceae.